AAACCAAACCAAAGUAAAAAAAAAACAAAAGCUUGGAAAUCUGAACAAAAUGAGUGAGAACUCACUACCGUCUCCUCAUCGAAACUGAGGUCC
Molecule: small nucleolar RNA, 93 nt
Filed under: Cervus elaphus hippelaphus
Lineage: Eukaryota; Metazoa; Chordata; Mammalia; Artiodactyla; Cervidae
Also listed under: 1 other name
Description: Small nucleolar RNA SNORD116
Rfam family: Small nucleolar RNA SNORD116
About the family: HBII-85 is a member of the C/D class of snoRNAs, which contain the C (UGAUGA) and D (CUGA) box motifs. HBII-85 is encoded in a tandemly repeated array with another C/D snoRNA, HBII-52, in the Prader-Willi syndrome (PWS) region of chromosome 15.
Source: Rfam by way of RNAcentral